AACGAACGCUGGCGGCAUGCCUAACACAUGCAAGUCGAACGAGACCUUCGGGUCUAGUGGCGCACGGGUGCGUAACGCGUGGGAACCUGCCCUUAGGUUCGGAAUAACUCCCCGAAAGGGGUGCUAAUACCGGAUAAUGUCUUCGGACCAAAGAUUUAUCGCCUUUGGAUGGGCCCGCGUUGGAUUAGCUAGUUGGUAGGGUAAAAGCCUACCAAGGCGACGAUCCAUAGCUGGUCUGAGAGGAUGAUCAGCCACACUGGGACUGAGACACGGCCCAGACUCCUACGGGAGGCAGCAGGGGGGAAUAUUGGACAAUGGGCGAAAGCCUGAUCCAGCAAUGCCGGGUGAGUGAUGAAGGCCUUAGGGUUGUAAAGCUCUUUUACCCGGGAUGAUAAUGACAGUACCGGGAGAAUAAGCCCCGGCUAACUCCGU
RNAcentral lists this ribosomal RNA (432 nucleotides) under uncultured bacterium. RNAcentral describes it as "partial 16S ribosomal RNA". It matches the Rfam family "Bacterial small subunit ribosomal RNA", at positions 29 to 506 of the family's 1533-position model. The record is from RNAcentral.